UACGAGAGGUCCAAACGUUAUUCGGAAUCACUGGGCUUACAGAGUUCGUAGGCGGUACGGUAAGUGGGGUGUGAAAGCCCUCGGCUCAACCGAGGAACUGCGCUCCAAACUACCGUGCUAGAGGAAGAUAGAGGUGAGCAGAACUGAUGGUGGAGCGGUGAAAUGCGUUGAUAUCAUCAGGAAUACCGGAGGCGAAGGCGGCUCACUGGGUCUUUUCUGACGCUGAGGAACGAAAGCUAGGGGAGCAAACGGG
This 253-nucleotide ribosomal RNA is filed under the name uncultured bacterium. Its description in RNAcentral is "partial 16S ribosomal RNA". It matches the Rfam family "Bacterial small subunit ribosomal RNA", at positions 524 to 776 of the family's 1533-position model. The record is from RNAcentral.